Molecule: long non-coding RNA, 404 nt
Filed under: Homo sapiens (human)
Lineage: Eukaryota; Metazoa; Chordata; Mammalia; Primates; Hominidae
Description: HSALNT0408182
Source: RNAcentral
AUGAAUCUAGCUCUGGACAGUUAUAAGCAAAGAAAAACUAACGGAAAAAUACAGAGGCCUGAAGAAUCACAGAGGGAAACUCAUUUGUUCCUCUGGCAGCUCUCCCCAAGGACACCUGUGAGACAAAGUCAGAAGUGGCUUCCCUGGUGACCCAGAGAGACCACAGGGCUCUUGCCGCUGCUUCCUCUACUCCCGUAUUUUGCCGAGCUCUCUAAAUUGUCUCAGCUCUAGCCUGAAUCUAUGGUUUCAUGGAGAGCUCCCUAAAAUCUGUUGACAGAGGAAGAGAAGACUUGAACCUGGUUUACAGAUGGUACUGCACAAUAUGCAGGAACCACAUGAAAGCAGGCAGUUGAAGCACUGCAGCCUCUCUCUGGGACAUCUCCUAAGAAAAAUGAGGGAGCAUC